Vicia faba (fava bean) is the source of this 258-nucleotide non-coding RNA. NCBI's taxonomy places the organism in Eukaryota, Viridiplantae, Streptophyta, Magnoliopsida, Fabales, Fabaceae. The record is from the annotation of a GenBank genome assembly.
AUGGUUAAUAUAGGUGAGAUGGAUGGUUGCAGUACUGUGAAAAUCAUGAAAAAGUAUAUCAAUGAAGGCUAUUGCCAAGGAUAUUAUUGUAUACUAAGACAAUUGUAUUUUCUAAGAUACUGUACAUUUUACAAAGGACUUGAAUUUGAUAUUUGGCCUUUUAAAAUCCAUAUACUAUUAGAUAAACCGUUUGCUGGCUUCAUUUUAGGUUUUCCACAUGUAGUUGCAGUUUCAGUUUUUCAUGAUUUAAAAACAUAA